RNAcentral lists this ribosomal RNA (424 nucleotides) under uncultured bacterium. RNAcentral describes it as "bacterial SSU rRNA". It matches the Rfam family "Bacterial small subunit ribosomal RNA", at positions 355 to 774 of the family's 1533-position model. The record is from RNAcentral.
UCGAGAAUCUUCCGCAAUGGGCGAAAGCCUGACGGAGCGACGCCGCGUGCGAGAUGAAGGCCUUCGGGUUGUAAAUCGCUGUCAGUGGGGAGCAAAUGCAUGGGGGUUCUCCCUCAUGUUUGAGCGAUCCGCAGAGGAAGCACAGGCUAAGUUCGUGCCAGCAGCCGCGGUAACACGAACUGUGCAAACGUUAUUCGGAAUCACUGGGCUUAAAGGGUUCGUAGGCGGCGCGCUAAGUCGGGUGUGAAAGCCCUCGGCUCAACCGAGGAACUGCGUCCGAAACUGGCGUGCUUGAGUGAGAUAGGGGUGAGCGGAACUGAUGGUGGAGCGGUGAAAUGCGUUGAUAUCAUCAGGAACACCGGUGGCGAAAGCGGCUCACUGGGUCUCAACUGACGCUGAGGAACGAAAGCUAGGGUAGCGAACG